UACAGAGACCUCAAGCGUUAUCCGGAAUCAUUGGGCGUAAAGCGUACCGAUAGGUGGUUCUACAAGUCAGAAGUGAAAUUCCAAAGCUCAACUUUGGGACUGUCUUUUGAAACUGUAGGACUUGAGGGGCAAAGAGGAAGCUGGAACGAACGGUGUAGUAGUGAAAUGCGUUGAUAUCGUUCGGAACACCAAUAGCGUAGGCAGGCUUCUGGGUGCCACCUGACACUGCUAGGACGAAAGCGUGGGGAGCGAAUGGG
This 257-nucleotide ribosomal RNA is filed under the name uncultured prokaryote. Its description in RNAcentral is "partial 16S ribosomal RNA". It matches the Rfam family "Bacterial small subunit ribosomal RNA", at positions 524 to 776 of the family's 1533-position model. The record is from RNAcentral.